RNAcentral lists this ribosomal RNA (253 nucleotides) under uncultured bacterium. RNAcentral's name for it is "partial 16S ribosomal RNA". It matches the Rfam family "Bacterial small subunit ribosomal RNA", at positions 524 to 776 of the family's 1533-position model. The record is from RNAcentral.
UACAGAGGGGGCAAGCGUUGUUCGGAAUUACUGGGCGUAAAGGGCGCGUAGGCGGCCUUCUAAGUCGAACGUGAAAUCCCCGGGCUCAACCCGGGAACUGCGUCCGAUACUGGGAGGCUUGAAUCCGGGAGAGGGAUGUGGAAUUCCAGGUGUAGCGGUGAAAUGCGUAGAUAUCUGGAGGAACACCGGUGGCGAAGGCGGCAUCCUGGACCGGCAUUGACGCUGAGGAGCGAAAGCCAGGGGAGCAAACGGG